Meriones unguiculatus (Mongolian gerbil) is the source of this 140-nucleotide small nucleolar RNA. RefSeq annotates it as small nucleolar RNA SNORA48. The transcript has a single exon. The record is from RefSeq and is a predicted model, not a curated record. Lineage: Eukaryota; Metazoa; Chordata; Mammalia; Rodentia; Muridae.
CUCCCCUGGCAAUGGGCAAAGAGACACCUUGUUCGUGGUGGUGUUCUAUCAGUCAGGGCAGAGUUGACAGCAGUCCUUUAUUCAUCCUAGCUUGAGGCCUGGCUUGGUGGCCAAAGCUGUUUUAUGCCUAGGACUCAGGA